This 482-nucleotide ribosomal RNA is filed under the name uncultured bacterium. RNAcentral's name for it is "partial 16S ribosomal RNA". It matches the Rfam family "Bacterial small subunit ribosomal RNA", at positions 30 to 507 of the family's 1533-position model. The record is from RNAcentral.
AUUGAACGCUGGCGGCAUGCCUUACACAUGCAAGUCGAACGGUAACGGGCCUUCGGGUGCCGACGAGUGGCGCACGGGUGAGUAAUACAUCGGAACGUGCCCGAUCGUGGGGGAUAACGAGGCGAAAGCUUUGCUAAUACCGCAUACGAUCUACGGAUGAAAGCAGGGGACCGCAAGGCCUUGCGCGGACGGAGCGGCCGAUGGCAGAUUAGGUAGUUGGUGGGAUAAAAGCUUACCAAGCCGACGAUCUGUAGCUGGUCUGAGAGGAUGAUCAGCCACACUGGGACUGAGACACGGCCCAGACUCCUACGGGAGGCAGCAGUGGGGAAUUUUGGACAAUGGGCGCAAGCCUGAUCCAGCCACGCCGCGUGCAGGAUGAAGGCCUUCGGGUUGUAAACUGCUUUUGUACGGAACGAAAAGCCUUCUUUUAAUACAGGAGGGUCAUGACGGUACCGUAAGAAUAAGCACCGGCUAACUACGUG